GUUGUACGUUAGGUACUUCUCCCACCUGGCAUCCUGUCGGUUUUAUACGUUAAAACGAUGUGCAAAAGUACCUUUUUGCGGAGGUGACGAUUUUCUACAGUUCUCCUCAUUGUGCUGCUAGUUGUGAAGACUCAAUACUAAAUACUGUUUUUCGCGUGGACAGACAACGGAAAUGUGGAUGCUCCCUUUGUGUUUUUCAACUAAGUAUUUAUUUAUACGAUAGGACGUAGGAACUAGAUAUUACUACAGUUUAAAGCCUUAACCUAUGAAGUAUAUAUAGUUUAGUUGUCUGCAGUAUCUAAAACUUAGAAUUCCACAGCUCGUAAGUCAGAGGUUACCAGAAACCAGUUGCCAGAGUAGCUCCUGGAAGACCACAGCUCAGAUUCAAAUCCCUCAAGAUGCUACUGAUAUCAGGAUGACAAAAAAACAUGCACUGCUCUGAUGAAAUCCUCUUAUGAUCAGCAGGCAAAAGGCAAGUAAAAGGAAUUAGGAGUCUAGUUCUGGUGUCUCCCAGGGCCCUAAUCAUAAUGUAGUGUUGGGACACAAGCCUAAGAACUGGAUAGUGUGGCUUUCCAUCGUGUCCUACAUACACGUGACAUGUUCUCCAGUGGCUACUUCUACACUCCCAGACAUACAGUUUGGUCCACACUCCAUGAAAAGAGAUAUGAAGUAGUCAUGGCUCAGGUAAGAAAUGAUUCUGAGACGUUCUUAACCUUGUACUAAUCAUUUAUAAUGUAGAAGGCAACAAGCAAGGCACUGCUAAGAUGUAAAGUUGAAUAAAAAUUCAUCUCCUGUGCUUAGGAACACAUACCAUCUAGAAAUUUGAAAAACUGUCAACUGAGAGACUUCAAGAGACAGCAACCAGGAGGAUGGCCCUGGGUUCUGAUGCAAAGUAGGGCAGGCCUGGUCCACAGGGGCAGAUGAGUGUGUGUUUAGAGGGGGAAGCAGGCAGGGGAGCAAGGAAAAGAGAUGAGCUAAAGAAAGAAGAAAAGUAAACAUUAUCCUUUCCAUGUCAUGAAAGAGUACUUCAAAAGAAGAAUGCUAGUUUGGGGAUGGAAAACAACAAAAUUCUCUUCUAGAGGUUUCCUAACUCAAAUCUCCUGAAUUUCUCAUGCCUCAUUUCUUCAACCUGGGACUCAUUAAAUUAACUCCUACUGAGUACAUAAGUAAGUAUCAGACAUUGUGAUGCCCAAAUGAAGAAGUCCUCAAGGAAGGCAGCUGAGGUUUUCCUAGAAGAACCCAUCUAAGAUGGCAGUGUUCUAAGAUGGCAGGGAAAUGAAAAGUUCUACCAUACAUACACAUGGUGCUGUGAUAAUGUAGGAGAGGGAAGGAUUUAAUCCCAUCUGGCAAGCAGAAGAAAAAGUCUUCCUCCAAUUUAAGUCCAGGCUAAACAGAUAAAUAGGAAUCUAUCGAGGUAAGAAAUCCUCCAUUCCACACAUUCCACACAUUCCACACAAGCCAUCCACAGCAUGGCACCUCUGUGGCCUAAAGAUGGCCUGCACUUCACAAAGAAGAGGGCAAGCAGCGCCCAAGCACCAGAGGAGACUGGCUGGAGGGGGACACUCUGAAGCCAGUCCCUCGAGCACCACUGAGAGAUUUGGGCUUCAUUCUCUAGCUCAGAGGUUGGCAAAUGCCCAGCCACGGGCAAUUCCAGCCUCCAACCUACAGCUGAUGUUGGAAUCGAUAUCAAGCUAAAGUGGUUUUUACUUUGCUAAGAAUCAAAAGAAAUAAUAUUUUGCAACGUGAAAAUUACAUGAUAUUCAAAUUUUAGGUUCUUCAAUAAGGUUUUCCUUGGACAUAGCCACACCCAAUUGUUUACAUAUUGUUCAUAGCUGCCUUCAAGAUCCAAGGACAGCAUGGAGUAGUUGUGACUGUCCCAGGACCUCAUGCAAAGCCGAGAAUAUUUACUAUCAGGCAGUUUAUAAAAAAUGUUUGUCAACACUGCUCUAGGUUAAUGAUUUUCAGUGUGGACACAUCCAAGUGGUUACAAAAGAUAUCCCCUUGGGGUACAGAAACAAAAUAUUAGAACAUUUAUUUAUGUUGCCAUGCUUAAAAAAAUAAAGCAAGUUUUUAUUAAUAUUUAUUCUAUGGACUGAGUGUGGAUGCCACACUUGUGCUUACAUCGAAAGGUCCUGGUUUGCAUGUGAUAUUCCAAGGGAGGGGCGGAACUUCUGCAUGGUGGUGCUGGCUCACACCAAUCAUCACUGGCCCAUGACUGGCUUUCAGUGAACUGCUGUUUUCAGUUUAUGGGGUACAAAAUGUCACUCGGGUAAAUUAUAUAAGACCUGUAAUGAAUAGAACUGAUGGGGCUCUGAACAGGAUACCCCAAAAUACGACACCUUGGCAUACUGAGUCUUUUAAGCUGAAGGAAACUGAAAUAAACCACAGAAGCAGGUCUCUCUGACCUUCUUCCAUGCUUCCUGCUCCUGAAGUGGACCAUAGAAACUAUGAUUCUUUUCACCCCUUCUUCCCUGAAGCAGGCCAUAAAACCUAGGAAGGUCAUUCUCUGACCUCCCUCCCUCCUCCCCUAAAAACCUUCAUGUGACAGAUGUCUUGCCCUUUCCCUGGAGAUAAGAAUUGCCACACAGGGAUGCCAAGAAGAAUCUGAACAGGCCUUGUUAAGAGUCUCCCAGCCUGGUACCAUUAGAUAAUACUCUUUGUCCUCCAAUCGUACUUCAGCAUGACUGUUCUUAAAAUACACAGCUUUCCCUUGGUAUUUGGAUCUUCAUUUCUGAAGGCUCCUGUGUCAUGUAAAACUUAUAUUAAAUAAAUGUGUAUGCUUUUCUCUUACUAACCUGUCUUUUGAUAUAGAUGUCUCAGCCAUAAACUCUGCAAUGAGUAAGUAAAAGAUACUACUUUUUCUCCCCUACAGAACCAUUAUCAUAACUUUCUACUAACUGGAGAAUGACUGUGAAAAUAUUUUGGACCAGAAAAAGGUCCCCAAACCCACAGACUUGAUGAUAACAUUCCAGUAACACUGAUGCCAGCAACAUUCAUCUUGGCAGAUGCUUUUUAAAAAAGAAAAAAAAAGUAACAAACUGAAAAAAUAAAGAAACAACCAAAAAAUCUCUGUGAUCCUAUGGAGUGGGUACAGAUACAGAAAGAUGGAAGGUCUACACUGGGGCUCAGCAAGUGCCUUGCUCAAGGUCACAAAACUAGUACGUGUAGAAACCAACGCAUAAUCUCCCAAUUUGCCUGAUUUGUAGCUAACUUGAUAUACCCAAUAGAGGUCAACAGGAAUAUAUCCUACUAUCCUCUAUCCUCAGUCCUUGACCUUGAUAAACCAUAUCCUCUCUGCUGAGAAAGACUCUCUCUUUGUCCAGCCCUUGAGCCAUAUUCUUGACUGGGCCCCGACCUUGGGUUUCCGUGUCCAGUUCUAGCAAGAAUCCUGCCAAGUCAGUUUAGGGAGAAUGCCCCCGCCCCUCACCUUCAUAUCUGAUCAAGUUCCUCAUCCCUACUCCCCCAAUCCUUCAUGUCUGAGCCCUUGGUCUCCCUUUAGCAGGAAGCCUGUUAGGCCAAUUUAGCAAGAAUCCCCCUACCCUGAUGUCUUCUCUUAGUGAUUUUCCACCACUGACCCCCUCACUCUGUUCCUUGCCUAUAAAUUCCCAGCUGUCUUUGCUGUAUUCAGAGUUGAGUCUGAUCUCCCAUCCCUAUGGCAAUGUCCCUUUUGCAACAGUCUUAAAUAAAAUCUUACUUACUUUUUUAACAAGCAUCAGAAUAAUUUUUUCUUUAACAACAUAUUACAAUUUUCUGAUUUGUACAGUCAAAAAGAUGACUGUGGAAAUUUUUUAAAUGGAAAUUGUUAAUACAAAUUAUGUAAUUAGCACAUAACUAUAAUCCUUGAGAUCAACCCCAUUAAUAUCUCUGUUAUAACCAAGACUUUUUAUAAUAGAAUUUUGUUACUUUCAUAAUUUAUUGUCCUGUUGCUCUAUGUUAUCACUCUGGUCUAACACCAGAUAGUCUCAAAUCCUUACAUUCCCUUUUGGGAAUGCAAACUCCAUGCUGCAGAGAGUUUUAUCAGCAUACACACAUGCACAAACACACACACACACAGCCCACUGACUCAAACAAUGUAUUAGAGUAGCGUUUUGAUGUUCUACAUGCAAAGAUCAGAAGAAGUAAAAAUAUUAAACUGUACAUUGAAAAUUGCCCUACAGAUUACUAUAUCAUUUCCCCCUUGCAUAAAGAGAUAUGAAAGUAACAGACUGCGUUUGAGGUUUACAUAAAGUCCCAUGAAUCAAAAUGGCCAAUCUUUGAGAUGAACCCUAAAGUGUGUGUGUGUGUGUGUGUAUGUGUGAAUCUUCUAUGUUC
Molecule: non-coding RNA, 4311 nt
Organism: Microcebus murinus (gray mouse lemur)
Lineage: Eukaryota; Metazoa; Chordata; Mammalia; Primates; Cheirogaleidae
Source: RefSeq, a predicted model, not a curated record